RNAcentral lists this long non-coding RNA (308 nucleotides) under Androctonus crassicauda. The record is from RNAcentral. Lineage: Eukaryota; Metazoa; Arthropoda; Arachnida; Scorpiones; Buthidae.
CAAGUUGUUUUAUUUAGGACAAAUCUGCAAGAUGCUGGCAAAUCUUGCACUGGAUGGCUAUUCAAAAGACUUUCGUUCUUCCCACAGGUGUAAAUCUCCAUGGCUCGGCUAGUACUGCAUGCUUUUCUUCUCUUAAGGAUCUUAUUACUUCUGCCUUGUGCCAGUCGACUUGUAUAUCAUUCUCGUAUGCACAUAUUGCUAAGGCUGUACUCAUUUUUCUGUUAGCGAGAUCCCUUUUAUGUUCAUUCAAACUUUGGCCAAAUGUCCUAGUCAUUACUCCUAUGUACGUUUCCUUUCUGCAUGUGUCG